CCUACGGGUGGCUGCAGUGGGGAAUAUUGCGCAAUGGGCGCAAGCCUGAUGCAGCCAUGCCGCGUGUGUGAAGAAGGCCUUCGGGUUGUAAAGCACUUUCAGCGGGGAGGAAGGCGGUGAGGUUAAUAACCUCAUCGAUUGACGUUACCCGCAGAAGAAGCACCGGCUAACUCCGUGCCAGCAGCCGCGGUAAUACGGAGGGUGCAAGCGUUAAUCGGAAUUACUGGGCGUAAAGCGCACGCAGGCGGUCUGUCAAGUCGGAUGUGAAAUCCCCGGGCUCAACCUGGGAACUGCAUUCGAAACUGGCGGGCUAGAGUCUUGUAGAGGGGGGUAGAAUUCCAGGUGUAGCGGUGAAAUGCGUAGAGAUCUGGAGGAAUACCGGUGGCGAAGGCGGCCCCCUGGACAAAGACUGACGCUCAGGUGCGAAAGCGUGGGGAGCAAACAGGAUUAGAUACCCGGGUAGUC
RNAcentral lists this ribosomal RNA (465 nucleotides) under uncultured Klebsiella sp. Its description in RNAcentral is "bacterial SSU rRNA". It matches the Rfam family "Bacterial small subunit ribosomal RNA", at positions 338 to 795 of the family's 1533-position model. The record is from RNAcentral. Lineage: Bacteria; Pseudomonadati; Pseudomonadota; Gammaproteobacteria; Enterobacterales; Enterobacteriaceae.